UACGUAGGUGGCGAGCGUUGUCCGGAUUUACUGGGCGUAAAGCGCGCGCAGGCGGUCCGGUAAGUCUCCGGUGAAAUCGCCCGGCUCAACUGGGCGGGUGCCGGGGAGACUGGCGGACUUGAGGAGCCUAGAGUCCGGAAGAGGAGUGUGGAAUUCCCGGUGUAGCGGUGAAAUGCGCAGAUAUCGGGAAGAACACCCGUGGCGAAGGCGGCACUCUGGGACGGUACUGACGCUGAGACGCGAAAGCGUGGGGAGCGAACAGG
Molecule: ribosomal RNA, 263 nt
Filed under: uncultured bacterium
Lineage: Bacteria
Description: partial 16S ribosomal RNA
Rfam family: Bacterial small subunit ribosomal RNA
Source: RNAcentral